This 232-nucleotide ribosomal RNA is filed under the name uncultured bacterium. RNAcentral's name for it is "partial 16S ribosomal RNA". It matches the Rfam family "Bacterial small subunit ribosomal RNA", at positions 104 to 334 of the family's 1533-position model. The record is from RNAcentral.
CGGGGUGAGUAACGCGUGGAUAACCUGCCUCACACUGGGGGAUAACAGUUAGAAAUGACUGCUAAUACCGCAUAAGCGCACAGUACCGCAUGGUACAGUGUGAAAAACUCCGGUGGUGUGAGAUGGAUCCGCGUCUGAUUAGCCAGUUGGCGGGGUAACGGCCCACCAAAGCGACGAUCAGUAGCCGACCUGAGAGGGUGACCGGCCACAUUGGGACUGAGACACGGCCCAA